UAUUGGGCAAUGGGCGCAAGCCUGACCCAGCAACGCCGCGUGAAGGAAGAAGGCCCUCGGGUNUGAAACUUCUUUUAUCAAGGACNNCCNNNANGACGGUACUUGAUGAAUAAGCCACGUCAAACUACGUNNNCNCAGCCGCGGUAAUACGUAGGUGGCAAGCGUUAUCCGGAUUUACUGGGUGUAAAGGGCGUGUAGGCGGGACUGCAAGUCAGAUGUGAAAACCAUGGGCUCAACCCAUGGCCUGCAUUUGAAACUGUAGUUCUUGAGUGUUGGAGAGGCAGGCGGAAUUCCGUGUGUAGCGGUGAAAUGCGUAGAUAUACGGAGGAACACCAGUGGCGAAGGCGGCCUGCUGGACAAUAACUGACGCUGAGGCGCGAAAGCGUGGGGAGCAAAC
This 397-nucleotide ribosomal RNA is filed under the name uncultured bacterium. Its description in RNAcentral is "partial 16S ribosomal RNA". It matches the Rfam family "Bacterial small subunit ribosomal RNA", at positions 362 to 773 of the family's 1533-position model. The record is from RNAcentral.